GCUGUCAAUUCCUCUCUUGAUCAUGUCUCCGCUCUUUAUUCAACUAUUCAUGACUGAGACUGCUAGGCGGGCACCUGUGACAAAGCAGUCACUAUGGUCCAUCUUUUUUAAGUCCAUCAGAGAGUGUUACAGUUCUAUUAAAUGUGUUGCUGCAGUAAUUUUUACCAAAGUGAUUCUGAUGGUAAAGGCUCAAAUCAACAGGAGCCAGAGAUGAAAAUCAAAAUCAGAGAGUUAAUAAUGAAACAACUUCUGGAAAAGGAGGUGAACAAAAGAGUAAGCCAGUGUCUGAUCCAACUUCUGGCAUUUUGGUACACCUCGAAGAUUGGUGGUAAGGUAUAGGUCAAACACCCCAUUAGUUCUAAAAGGUAUCACACUUGGCAUAAGAGGAGGCAAGAAAAUUGGGGUUGUUGGUCGCACAGGGAGUGGAAAGUCCACCCUUAUACAGGUAUUCUUCAGGCUAGUUGAACCUUAUGGAGGGAAGAUAAUAAUUGAUGGCAUCGAUAUCUGCAAGAUUGGCUUGCAUGAUCUAAGGUCUCGCUUUGGGAUCAUUCCACAAGAGCCGGUACUAUUUCAAGGAACGGUGAGAACCAAUGUGGAUCCACUUGGUCUUUAUUCCGAGGAAGAGAUAUGGAAGUACGCCCUGCCAUACCUGGGAUGCUUUCCAACUGGCUCAUGCAUCAUUUAGUCUUUAUUGAAUUCGGAACAAUGCAGUGGUUCCCCGGAACAGCCAAAUGGCUGGUUGUAAUCUGGGGGGCCAUCUCUUCUUAGGGAGGAUCCCAUUGUUGAAGUUGCUUUGACCGAGGCUAAUGAUGGUGAUGAAGAAGAUGGCUCUGGGAGUAAUCUUUCUGCUGUUAAAAUCCAUGACGAUGAAGUGAGUGUGAGAUUUUUGGUCUGUGGGGUGGCAUGCUCAUUGGAUGCAUAUUUGUUGGGAUGUUUGGAGGAUGGACUGAAUGCACUUUUGGGCAUAGAGGGCAAUAAGAUAACGAAAAAGAUCUCCUCGGCCAAGCUAGCAAACCAGAUUUUCUCUCUUGAAUGGAAGAACAGCAAGAGACAGGGCCAUGAAUGUGGCUGGCAAUUUUGACAGCUCGUGCUGGGUCUGGUUCUGGCUGCCUAGCCGUGGUGUAGCUUCUUCUGGUUGCUGAUUUGCUUGUAGCUGCUGCUUGGGUUGCUAGUCGUGGUGUGGCUGUGCUGUCUCAUUCUCUGUUGCAGGCUUGGGGUCAGUGGGAGCAGUCUGCAGUCUGUUUUUUUUUUUUUUCUAUUUAUCAAAGAUGUAGUGCUCUUUAAUGGAUGUAUGACACAAAUAUUGAAGAAAAUAUAUGUGUUUUAUGUAUAUUAUGAUUA
Chenopodium quinoa (quinoa) is the source of this 1341-nucleotide long non-coding RNA. RefSeq lists it as uncharacterized. NCBI's taxonomy places the organism in Eukaryota, Viridiplantae, Streptophyta, Magnoliopsida, Caryophyllales, Amaranthaceae. The transcript is spliced from 6 exons. The record is from RefSeq and is a predicted model, not a curated record.